This is a transfer RNA of Stereum hirsutum FP-91666 SS1, 97 nucleotides long. It matches the Rfam family "tRNA". From Rfam's summary of the family: Transfer RNA (tRNA) molecules are approximately 80 nucleotides in length. Their secondary structure includes four short double-helical elements and three loops (D, anti-codon, and T loops). The record is from Rfam. NCBI's taxonomy places the organism in Eukaryota, Fungi, Basidiomycota, Agaricomycetes, Russulales, Stereaceae.
CCUCCGAUAGCUCAAUGGUAGAGCGCCGGUGUACUUUACCUGUACAUGCGAAAGCACAUUACUACCGGAGACGUUGGUUCGAGUCCAACUCGGAGGG